This 69-nucleotide transfer RNA is filed under the name Rattus norvegicus (Norway rat). It matches the Rfam family "tRNA". From Rfam's summary of the family: Transfer RNA (tRNA) molecules are approximately 80 nucleotides in length. Their secondary structure includes four short double-helical elements and three loops (D, anti-codon, and T loops). Lineage: Eukaryota; Metazoa; Chordata; Mammalia; Rodentia; Muridae. The record is from Rfam by way of RNAcentral.
GGGGAUUUGGCUCAGUGGUAGAGCGCUUGCCUAGCAAGCACAAGGCUCUGGGUUCGGUCCCCAGCUCCG